AUACGUAUGGUGCAAGCGUUAUCCGGAUUUACUGGGUGUAAAGGGAGCGCAGGCGGCGCGGCAAGUCUGGUGUGAAAGCCCGGGGCUCAACCCCGGUACUGCAUUGGAAACUGUCGUGCUAGAGUGUCGGAGGGGCAGGCGGAAUUCCUAGUGUAGCGGUGAAAUGCGUAGAUAUUAGGAGGAACACCGGUGGCGAAGGCGGCCUGCUGGACGAUGACUGACGCUGAGGCUCGAAAGCGUGGGGAGC
RNAcentral lists this ribosomal RNA (247 nucleotides) under uncultured bacterium. RNAcentral's name for it is "partial 16S ribosomal RNA". It matches the Rfam family "Bacterial small subunit ribosomal RNA", at positions 523 to 769 of the family's 1533-position model. The record is from RNAcentral.